This 478-nucleotide ribosomal RNA is filed under the name uncultured bacterium. RNAcentral's name for it is "partial 16S ribosomal RNA". It matches the Rfam family "Bacterial small subunit ribosomal RNA", at positions 28 to 523 of the family's 1533-position model. The record is from RNAcentral.
GACGAACGCUGGCGGCGUGCUUAACACAUGCAAGUCGAGCGAUGAAGUUCCUUCGGGAAUGGAUUAGCGGCGGACGGGUGAGUAACACGUGGGUAACCUGCCUCAUAGAGGGGAAUAGCCUUUCGAAAGGAAGAUUAAUACCGCAUAAGAUUGUAGUAUCGCAUGACACAGCAAUUAAAGGAGUAAUCCGCUAUGAGAUGGACCCGCGUCGCAUUAGCUAGUUGGUGAGGUAACGGCUCACCAAGGCGACGAUGCGUAGCCGACCUGAGAGGGUGAUCGGCCACAUUGGGACUGAGACACGGCCCAGACUCCUACGGGAGGCAGCAGUGGGGAAUAUUGCACAAUGGGGGAAACCCUGAUGCAGCAACGCCGCGUGAGUGAUGACGGUCUUCGGAUUGUAAAGCUCUGUCUUCAGGGACGAUAAUGACGGUACCUGAGGAGGAAGCCACGGCUAACUACGUGCCAGCAGCCGCGGUAA